This 316-nucleotide unclassified non-coding RNA is filed under the name Hevea brasiliensis (rubber tree). The record is from RNAcentral. Lineage: Eukaryota; Viridiplantae; Streptophyta; Magnoliopsida; Malpighiales; Euphorbiaceae.
UUGAUGAAGGAUCCUGCCAGGACUGAAAAAUAUUUGGUUGUUGGAGUGGCAAACUCCAUGCUGCAAAGAGUUGAUUCAGGAAGCAGCAUUGAUUAUAUUGAAUCUGAAAAGAAGUGGGACAGCACAAGAAAGAAAGAGUAGGGCUAUUUCAGCACUCAAAUGCCACCAAUUCAAUUUUUCAUUGUUGCAAACGUUAUUAGAACCAAUCAUUGACCCAAAAAUUUUAGGUAACAUCAGAUAUAUCUAAAGUUUUGUUAUCAUAGAAAGUUACGAUACUUUAAAUUAUGGGGCUAGCAAGAAAGACUCUUGGUUAAAG